RNAcentral lists this transfer RNA (75 nucleotides) under Methanomassiliicoccales archaeon. RNAcentral describes it as "tRNA-Gly". It matches the Rfam family "tRNA". Rfam says of the family: Transfer RNA (tRNA) molecules are approximately 80 nucleotides in length. Their secondary structure includes four short double-helical elements and three loops (D, anti-codon, and T loops). RNAcentral also lists the same sequence under 2 other names. Lineage: Archaea; Methanobacteriati; Thermoplasmatota; Thermoplasmata; Methanomassiliicoccales. The record is from RNAcentral.
GCGAUAGUGGUUUAGGGGUUAAGACAGGUGCUUCCCAAGCACCAGCCCCGGGUUCGAUUCCCGGCUAUCGCACCA